This 961-nucleotide long non-coding RNA is filed under the name Microcebus murinus (gray mouse lemur). RNAcentral describes it as "lncRNA (ENSMICG00000048532.1)". The record is from RNAcentral. Lineage: Eukaryota; Metazoa; Chordata; Mammalia; Primates; Cheirogaleidae.
AUGUUUCUAUAAAAUGGAUCUUUUUGGAAUACGUGUAAAACAGGUCUUAAAUAGCCUCACACUUAAGUGGCUCAGUCCAGUUUUGUAAACUGUGUGUCGCUACUUGAGUAACAGUGCUGUACAAAAUCUAAACUGUUGCUUGAACCUAAUGCCAAGAUACUCAACCAUCAUUGGAAUCAAUAAGCUACGUGUGGGAGAACAUUUCUGUAUCCACGGAUGUCGGGCUAAUAGAUUAUUUAUUUCACUAAAUUUAUUAACUUCAGGGACAAGAGCUUAAGUGAGCAGAAAAGGCUGAUCGGUAUAUUUGACCACAAGCCUAAAUCCCAGCACAUUACAGGAUGAAGUCACUACAUGGUGCGACUUCACAAUCGAGUUUGGUGACAUCACAAUGGAGUUUGCCCUAUGAAGUCCAGACCAUCUUCAGGCCAAGGCUUAUUUCUCCCAAGGGUUUGUAGCGGCUGGAAGGGAUUUUGUUGUUGUUCUUGUGUUUUAAACUAGAGACUGGUUUUUUUUUUUUUUUUUUCCAGGCUAAAUGCUUACUUAGGAAAAUUGGUUUGAAUCUGGCAAAGGCAUUCAACAAUACUGUCUUUCCUUUUCAGGUCACAGUAUUGGAAGAAGAGUGUGGUUUACAGCUAAUACUGCCCUGAAGGUGUGGACCCAUACUUCAAACACAAAGAUCAGACACUGAUUUCACACAUCUGAUAGAUAAAUGAAGAAUUCUGAGACUGAUCCGAAGCUCAAGCCGAGGUGUAAAAAAAGGAAGAAAAAGUCAAAGAACUUGGAACAAAACUCUAGCAAUGCGGAACCCAGAAGCAUGCCCACUCAAUUUGCACGUAGAUUUCAAGAUCUCUUCCAAAACCUCCACAGGCAGAUAGAGGGCCAUCCCCACCACCAGCUCUACCAGCGCCACCUCUUCCCAGAGGAGUUUUUCCUCCUCCUUCAACUCCUUUACCUGGACUAA